Molecule: long non-coding RNA, 655 nt
Organism: Portunus trituberculatus (swimming crab)
Lineage: Eukaryota; Metazoa; Arthropoda; Malacostraca; Decapoda; Portunidae
Exons: 4
Source: RefSeq, a predicted model, not a curated record
AUCUCUCACGCCGAGGAAAACUACAACGGUGCCCCAAGCUGCAAAGAUAAGGGGUGCGUGUACUGCUGCGCAAGAAAAUACCGUAAAUAUUUGCGACCAGGUGACAGAUGCCGCCCCAUGUCCUGGCGGGGAAGUAUGCUGCUUGCUUAGUGGUGGAGCGUUCAGAUUAAGUCGCAAAAAUAAGAAGGCCAAGAAAAAGAAUAAACGGAAAACACCGGGAAAAACUAAGGAUGGAUCUUUGAAAAGGAAUAAGCAAAAGAAUGUCAAGAAUAAGAAGUCCAAAGUUAAAAAGAAGAAAAAGCGACAUAACUCUAAUAAAAAAGAUGAUGGGUCAAUGAAAGGUGGAGAGAAAAAGAAGACCAGCAACAAGAAGAAAACAAAGGCGCAAGUGAAGAAAAUCAAGAAGAAUCAAGACGAAGGAAGUGUGGGCGUAGUGAAGGAAAAUAAGCAAGCAAAUGCAGAUCAAAAGUUUAAUCCCGUAUGCGCUAGCACCUCAGCGUGUGCGGGAACCUGUAUCCCUGAAACUGAUAGGUGUUUCGGUAAGGAGAUGAAUACCUGCGGGCGUUGGUGUAAAUGCUGUGUGCCUAAAGGUGGUGGUGGAGGUGGAGGUGGAGGUGGAGGCGGCGGCAGCAGUAAAUGCAGAGGCAAAUGUACG